Long non-coding RNA from Mangifera indica (mango), 1049 nucleotides. RefSeq lists it as uncharacterized. The record is from RefSeq and is a predicted model, not a curated record. Lineage: Eukaryota; Viridiplantae; Streptophyta; Magnoliopsida; Sapindales; Anacardiaceae. The transcript has 2 exons.
AGUAGAUAUCAAUCAAAAUUCACUUAAGUUAAAUAUUAAUGACAAUUGUAUAAUUUAAUAAGAAUAGUAGAUUGAAAUACAAAUAUUUUGAAACUUAAGAAUUAGAAAUAUUGUCUCAUCAAAUUUUGGGUGGUAAAUGGGAUUAAAUUUAAAUCAAACCGAUCUAAGCUGGAUUUGAAUAAAAUUAAACUCAAAUAUGGCUCCUUUGAGAGGGGUCAAAUUUGAGUAGUUCAAUAGUUCAAACAUCAUAGAUUCGGUACUUUUUUUUGGACUCCAGGAAGCAACAUAUGCCCUUUGACUGAAGCUGACAAUCGGUUACCAUCUCGUAGAACUGAUGUAAAUUUCUCUACAAAUUCUUCUGUCCUGGGGAAGGAUUUGAUUUGUUGGAGUGACUCAACAUUUGAGGUUUGGGGAACAAAAGGAUACAAUUUACACUUAAGGGGGAGGAAUAGAGUUUUGCCGGGCUAUCCUCUUAUCUUAUCGAUUUGGGGAGAGGUAUGAAUUCAACUAUGGACACUCCAAAAUCAAGGCGUCCUCGGUACACAGAUUAGUAAGGGUGAUUACUUGGGCAGUAGAUACUUGGGUAUAUUCUACAAAGGCGAGGUAAGAAACAUUAAUUCGGUUAGGCACAUUCUUUUCUUUUCCCCAUAAAAGUGAAGGUUCUCUAAAGGACAAUGAGCUGAUAGCUGCCUUUUCUGAACUGUGAAUAUGCCGCUUGAUAUGUCUGUACUUGUCCCUAGUCAUCGACUCGUACCUCUACUAGUGGCAAUUACUGGCCUUUUGGUGUUUUUGAGCUUCUGGAGAAUCCGACAAAGGCAAUGGAGGAGGAAAGGAUCUGUCUCCAGUCGUUUGGUUAAUCCAUAGCCAAGAUGGUUUUUUUUUUUUCAAUAGAGCCACUUCCCGACGUUACAUGUCUUUCUGAAUUUUGUCUUUGGCAUUAUUACAAGGAAGUUUUGUAUUCAUACUAUAGGUUUGUUGUAUUCAUUUUGGUUAGGAUGUUUGUCAUAGCACAAAUUUUACAGAUUAAUGAUAGGAUUUUUGAGAUUUCA